RNAcentral lists this ribosomal RNA (238 nucleotides) under uncultured bacterium. RNAcentral describes it as "partial 16S ribosomal RNA". It matches the Rfam family "Bacterial small subunit ribosomal RNA", at positions 96 to 334 of the family's 1533-position model. The record is from RNAcentral.
CGGCGGACGGGUGAGUAACGCGUGGGUAACCUGCCUUGUACUGGGGGACAACAGUUGGAAACGACUGCUAAUACCGCAUAAGCGCACAGCUUCGCAUGAAGCAGUGCGAAAAACUCCGGUGGUACAAGAUGGACCCGCGUCUGAUUAGCUGGUUGGUGAGGUAACGGCCCACCAAGGCGACGAUCAGUAGCCGGCCUGAGAGGGUGAACGGCCACAUUGGGACUGAGACACGGCCCAA